This 529-nucleotide ribosomal RNA is filed under the name fungal endophyte. Its description in RNAcentral is "eukaryotic LSU rRNA". The stretch from base 207 to 360 matches the Rfam family "5.8S ribosomal RNA". The record is from RNAcentral. Lineage: Eukaryota; Fungi.
AGUCGUAACAAGGUCUCCGUUGGUGAACCAGCGGAGGGAUCAUUACCGAGUUUACAACUCCCAAACCCCUGUGAACAUACCUAUAAUUUGCCUCGGCGGACUCAACGACGGUGCUCCGAGAAAUCGGUCGCCGCUCGCUGCCAGAGGAACCCCAAACUCUAUGUAUUCUUGUGGAUCUUCUGAGUAAAACAAAACAAAUAAAUCAAAACUUUCAACAACGGAUCUCUUGGUUCUGGCAUCGAUGAAGAACGCAGCGAAAUGCGAUAAGUAAUGUGAAUUGCAGAAUUCAGUGAAUCAUCGAAUCUUUGAACGCACAUUGCGCCCGCCAGUAUUCUGGCGGGCAUGCCUGUUCGAGCGUCAUUUCAACCCUCAAGCCCCCGGGCUUGGUGUUGGGGAUCGGCGAUAGUCGCCGUCCCCCAAAUCUAGUGGCGGUCUCGCUGUAGCCUCCAUUGCGUAGUAGCUAACACCUCGCAACUGGAACGCGGCGCGGCCAAGCCGUUAAACCCCCAACUUCUGAAUGUGACCUCGA